GUCCUGUGUGCUCAUCCUUCUCCUGGCCCUACUGUGUGCAGAAAGAGCUCAGGGGCUAAACUGCUACAAUUGCACGAUGAUCCCAUUUGGUAAUACCUGCUCAUCAACUGCUACCUGCCCCUACCCUGAUGGAGUCUGCACUAUUCAGGUGGCAGAAGUUGUUGCUCUGUAAGACUGAAAGUAAAGAGCAAUCUCUGCCUUCCCGGCUGCCCCAAGAGUCCUCAAACACCUGAGGUCCUCGGUACCGUUGUCCAUGUGAAUACUGACUGUUGCAAUACAGAUCUUUGCAACGCAGCAGGUCCCACUGGAGGCAGCACGUGGACCAUGGCAGGGGUGCUUCUGUUCAUCCUGGGCUCAGUCCUCCUGCAGACCUUGCUGUGAUGGACCCUCCAAGGCCCUGCCACCCUUGUCCUUUUAUCCUUAUGUGUAAUCACUCCUUCCUGGAGCCCUCUAGUGAUAAAUUCUGAGUAAUAAAAAUUCAGAGGGGGGAUUGAGUGUGGAACACCUUGUUGCAACUCUAUAGCCACUGCUGGAUAGGUUCCCCACUCCCCUCUCUAGGGCUUUCAGAUAUGUACUUCCUAGAAUGCCAUUGUGUUGUGGUUUGCUGCUCUUGGCCCUGGAGGCAGGGGACAGCACAGGGAAGAGGCAGAAACCCAAGGCACUGUGACACCACCUCCAUCCAUACAUAAAAAUCUGGGGUUCUGCAGGGUUCCCACACAUGCCUCUGAACAUCCCCCUAUUUGAGUCCAAUAAACUCUCUGUUCUCCC
RNAcentral lists this long non-coding RNA (768 nucleotides) under Rattus norvegicus (Norway rat). RNAcentral's name for it is "long non-coding RNA NONRATT027021". The record is from RNAcentral. Lineage: Eukaryota; Metazoa; Chordata; Mammalia; Rodentia; Muridae.